Molecule: ribosomal RNA, 506 nt
Filed under: uncultured bacterium
Lineage: Bacteria
Description: bacterial SSU rRNA
Rfam family: Bacterial small subunit ribosomal RNA
Source: RNAcentral
CCUGGCUCAGGAUGAACGCUAGCGGCAGGCUUAACACAUGCAAGUCGAGGGGCAUCGGGAGCAGCAAUACUGCCGGCGACCGGCGCAAGGGUGCGUAACGCGUGAGCAACAUGCCCGUAUCAGGGGGAUAAUCCAUGGAAACGUGGUCUAAUACCCCAUAGUAAUUAUGUAAGGCAUCUUAUAUAAUUUAAAGCUUUGGUGGAUACGGAUUGGCUCGCGUGACAUUAGCUGGAUGGUAAGGUAACGGCUUACCAUGGCUACGAUGUCUAGGGGUUCUGAGAGGAAGGUCCCCCACACUGGAACUGAGACACGGUCCAGACUCCUACGGGAGGCAGCAGUGAGGAAUAUUGGACAAUGGAUGGAAAUCUGAUCCAGCCAUGCCGCGUGCAAGGGAAGACGGCCCUAUGGGUUGUAAACUGCUUUUGUAUGGGAGCAAUAAGGGCUACGUGUAGUCCGAUGAGAGUACCAUACGAAUAAGCACCGGCUAACUCCGUGCCAGCAGCAGC